RNAcentral lists this ribosomal RNA (460 nucleotides) under uncultured bacterium. RNAcentral's name for it is "partial 16S ribosomal RNA". It matches the Rfam family "Bacterial small subunit ribosomal RNA", at positions 338 to 795 of the family's 1533-position model. The record is from RNAcentral.
CCUACGGGUGGCAGCAGUGAGGAAUAUUGGUCAAUGGGCGUAAGCCUGAACCAGCCAAGUCGCGUGAGGGAUGAAGGUUCUAUGGAUCGUAAACCUCUUUUAUAAGGGAAUAAAGUGCGGGACGUGUCCCUUUUUGUAUGUACCUUAUGAAUAAGGAUCGGCUAACUCCGUGCCAGCAGCCGCGGUAAUACGGAGGAUCCGAGCGUUAUCCGGAUUUAUUGGGUUUAAAGGGUGCGUAGGUGGCCUUUUAAGUCAGUGGUGAAAGUUUGUGGCUCAACCAUAAAAUUGCAGUUGAUACUGGGAGCCUUGAGUAUGUUUGAGGCAGGCGGAAUGCGGGGUGUAGCGGUGAAAUGCUUAGAUAUCACGAAGAACUCCGAUUGCGAAGGCAGCCUGCCAAGCUAUCACUGACAUUGAUGCACGAAAGCGUGGGUAUCAAACAGGAUUAGAUACCCUAGUAGUC